UACGUAGGGGGCAAGCGUUGUCCGGAAUCAUUGGGCGUAAAGCGCGCGUAGGCGGCCCUGUAAGUCCGCUGUGAAAGUCAAAGGCUCAACCUUUGAAAGCCGGUGGAUACUGCAGGGCUAGAGUCCGGAAGAGGCGAGUGGAAUUCCUGGUGUAGCGGUGGAAUGCGCAGAUAUCAGGAGGAACACCAAUAGCGAAGGCAGCUCGCUGGGACGGUACUGACGCUAAGGCGCGAAAGCGUGGGGAGCGAACAGGA
Molecule: ribosomal RNA, 254 nt
Filed under: uncultured prokaryote
Description: partial 16S ribosomal RNA
Rfam family: Bacterial small subunit ribosomal RNA
Source: RNAcentral